Molecule: ribosomal RNA, 471 nt
Filed under: Hadenoecus subterraneus
Lineage: Eukaryota; Metazoa; Arthropoda; Insecta; Orthoptera; Rhaphidophoridae
Description: partial 16S ribosomal RNA
Rfam family: Bacterial large subunit ribosomal RNA
Source: RNAcentral
UUUGAUCAUAAUUUGAAGUCUGACCUGCCCACUGACGUUUUAGAGUUGAAGGGCCGCAGUAUUUUGACUGUGCAAAGGUAGCAUAAUCAUUAGUCUUUUAAUUGGAGACUGGAAUGAAUGGUUUAACGAAGUAUACACUGUCUCGUAAUAAUAAAGUAGAAUUUAACUUUUGAGUUAAAAGGCUUAAAUUAAAUUGGAGGACGAGAAGACCCUAUAGAGCUUUAUAAUUUGAAUUUGAUUUUUUUUUGAAUAAUAAGAGAUUAUAUGAAAGAUUAUUUAAUUGGGGUGAUGUGAAGAUUGGUAUAACUCUUUGUUUAUAAGCCGUUGAUGUACGAUUAGUUUGAUCCAUUAUUAGUGAUUAUAAGAUUUAGUUACCUUAGGGAUAACAGCGUGAUUUUUUUUGAGAGCUCUAAUCGACAAGGAAGAUUGCGACCUCGAUGUUGGAUUAAGGAAUAAAAUUGGGUGUAGAAG